RNAcentral lists this ribosomal RNA (496 nucleotides) under uncultured bacterium. RNAcentral describes it as "partial 16S ribosomal RNA". It matches the Rfam family "Bacterial small subunit ribosomal RNA", at positions 28 to 506 of the family's 1533-position model. The record is from RNAcentral.
GAUGAACGCUGGCGGCGUGCCUAAUACAUGCAAGUCGAGCGAACAGACGAGGAGCUUGCUCCUCUGACGUUAGCGGCGGACGGGUGAGUAACACGUGGAUAACCUACCUAUAAGACUGGGAUAACUUCGGGAAACCGGAGCUAAUACCGGAUAAUAUAUUGAACCGCAUGGUUCAAUAGUGAAGGACGGUUUUGCUGUCACUUAUAGAUGGAUCCGCGCCGCAUUAGCUAGUUGGUAAGGUAACGGCUUACCAAGGCAACGAUGCGUAGCCGACCUGAGAGGGUGAUUGGCCACACUGGAACUGAGACACGGUCCAGACUCCUACGGGAGGCAGCAGUAGGGAAUCUUCCGCAAUGGGCGAAAGCCUGACGGAGCAACGCCGCGUGAGUGAUGAAGGUCUUCGGAUCGUAAAACUCUGUUAUUAGGGAAGAACAAAUGUGUAAGUAACUAUGCACGUCUUGACGGUACCUAAUCAGAAAACCACGGCUAACUACGU